Molecule: long non-coding RNA, 207 nt
Filed under: Capsella rubella
Lineage: Eukaryota; Viridiplantae; Streptophyta; Magnoliopsida; Brassicales; Brassicaceae
Description: long non-coding RNA (CRUB_LNC003970)
Source: RNAcentral
CGGAAAUUUUUAUUUUUUUUUGUUUUUGAUAAUUUUGAUCUAUGAAAAAACUAAUGAUAUGUCAUAAAAAAAGUGUUGCAAUAUAAGUAGAAAGAGAGAAAAAAACAAUGCAACUUAUGGUCGCAAGAAGAUGUCGCUACGACACUCAAAAGAACAUGGUACAUUAUUCUUGCUUCCACCUUUUAUAUAGAAACAUCUACAUUUCAA